UGUUGCAUGUGGUCAAUGCCAAUCUUUUCAAUUUUGAAUUCAAAUAAAAAGUUUUAUUCUUCAACUAUACCUUUGGAUCUAUUUUCAUCUUAUGUUUGUCACAACCAAAGUGGUGGGAAUUAUCCUUAGAGUACAUAUCACCUCACACUUCUUUUUAUCUAUAUGAAUCCACUCAUAUUCUUAUCAUCAUUAAAGUCACUCAUUGACGUCAUCUCCUCAACAUCAUGCCUUGGCCUACACACAUGGAUGUUGUGCAUCUCUUUGUUUGUUCACUUAUGUUUGGCAAGGAUGGAGCCGGCCAUUGUCUAUGCAUGGCAAUUUCGGCCAGCCAUUCCUCUCUAUUUUUCUUCCUCUACAAGACUUGCCUCCCAACUACCCCAAUCAAUAAAUGAGCAGCCUCCCAACCCACCCAAUCAAUGAGGAGGCAGCCACCAUCCUCCCUCUUUAUAAGGAGCUUGGCCGGCCACACCUCCUCUCCUUUGCCUCAUUUCUUUUCACUCCCUACUAUUUCCUCCACUCCCUCACACUCUCCUCCUCCACUUCCCCACGAAAAUGGUGCUCCCCUUGCUCCCAUGGCCGGCCAUGGCCAUGGCAAGCCACCAAGAUGAAGCUCUCCCUCUCCCUCAAGCUCCUCCUCACCAUGAGAGCCUCCCUCUCAUUCUUCUCCCCAACCCUAGAUGGUUUUCUCUCCUCUUCUUCUUCCUCCCUUGCUAAGAUUGGAUCUUGAUGCAGGUGCAUGUUGGUCCAAGCAUGGAGAAGCUUGAGCUAGCCUCAGAUCUGAAGUUCUUGAGCAAAGGCCAAAUCGAGUGAUUCAAAGUUCCGCGCAUAGGUAUUGAAAAGAUCUACAACUUGGCGUUGGUUUCACCCUCAAAUUCGUUACAUAUUUUCCUCGAUCAAGAUCUGGUCAGAUCUGACUUGGUCGAAUUAAAUCAGGAGCUUGGGAACGAAUUUUUGAAUGAAACAAACUGGGGGAUACUUAGUUGUGCCAUGGUGAUACCGAGAGAGGCAAUUGCUAAGUUAUGAUACUCUCAUACCUUUACUAGAUGCGAACGAUUCCGGAGAAGAAGAAGAAGUGGUUCGGACAAGGAUUUUAUUUAUAUUGACGGGAUUCUUAUAUUGAUGAAGUUGAAGAAGUCCAGGGAAAAAUAAGCCAAGGCAAGCCAUCUUUUGAUCUCUGAUAUGAUGUCUCUUUGGAUGUCAUCUUGUGCUAUCAAUAGCAUCUUGGUUCUAUGUGUGAUGAUCUCCAUAUUGUUGUCAUCUAUGCUUGGAUGCAAGCAUGGUACCUCUAGUAGUUUUAUCUUGUCAAGGUCUUGGUAAUUGGUUGGGUGUAUGGUAUCAUGGCCAUUGCUAUCCAACUUGCUUUCUAUAUUUAGCUUGAAUAUGUUCCACCUCGGGACAAGAUUCAUACUACACCCCCUUCUAGUGUAGAUGUAUCAAUACCAUGUUUUUGGUGUAUUCUCAAAUUGUGAUGAGUAUGCCUGUUUUCCCUUAAUGGUGUUG
Lolium perenne is the source of this 1500-nucleotide long non-coding RNA. RefSeq lists it as uncharacterized. The record is from RefSeq and is a predicted model, not a curated record. Lineage: Eukaryota; Viridiplantae; Streptophyta; Magnoliopsida; Poales; Poaceae.